Molecule: ribosomal RNA, 467 nt
Filed under: uncultured bacterium
Lineage: Bacteria
Description: partial 16S ribosomal RNA
Rfam family: Bacterial small subunit ribosomal RNA
Source: RNAcentral
GACGAACGCUGGCGGCGUGCUUAACACAUGCAAGUCGAACGGAAAGGCCUCUUUCGGGGGGUACUCGAGUGGCGAACGGGUGAGUAACACGUGAGUAACCUGCCCUUUACUUUGGGAUAACUUCAGAAAACUGGGGCUAAUACCGGAUAGAAGCUCCUGCUGCAUGGUGGGGGUUUGAAAGUUUCGGCGGUUGGGGAUGGACUCGCGGCUUAUCAGCUUGUUGGGGGGGUAGUGGCUUACCAAGGCUUUGACGGGUAGCCGGCCUGGGAGGGUGACCGGCCACAUUGGGACUGAGAGACGGCCCAGACUCCUACGGGGGGCAGCAGGGGGGAAUAUUGCACAAUGGGUGGAAGCCUGAUGCAGCAACGCCGGGGGCGGGAAGACGGCCUUCGGGUUGGAAACCGCUUUCGCUCAUGACGAAGCUUUGUGUGACGGUAGUGGGUAAAGAAGCACCGGCUAACUACGUG